Long non-coding RNA from Hyla sarda, 618 nucleotides. RefSeq lists it as uncharacterized. The transcript has 5 exons. Lineage: Eukaryota; Metazoa; Chordata; Amphibia; Anura; Hylidae. The record is from RefSeq and is a predicted model, not a curated record.
GCGGUGAGGAGGCGGAGUCUAGUUGUCAAUCAAACUAGUUGUGCUGCCCAUAAAGUUCGCGCUCCUUACCUUUAGCCUUUGUCCUCUAGAGGGCAGUGGAGAGGUAAAAGCAGUAUUGUGGACAGUCCAAUAGGCACUGUUCCUGCUUGUGUUCCAGUCCACAUUGUGAGAAUAUAGUUCUUCAAUAUUCCUGUCUCCAAAAGGAGAAUUUUGUCUUCGCAAGAGAGGUUGAACAAGGGCCUGUCUGAUUUACGCAGAUCUGUCAGCCCUCGGUCAGAGUCAGUGCUGCCUGUAUGUCACUUCAGGAAGACUUACCUUCAUGCUCCUUUCCAAGCACCAUGUUACAGAAACCACUGCAAAUGAGUGAAGUGAAGAUUUUGAUGUCAUUUUCAGACCUGUGACUAUUCUCCUAGUGAUGGCUGUGUGUGAAAAUACCAGUAGAUCAGCGGUUUCUGAAAUACUCAGGCCAGCCUGCCUAGCACCAAGAACCAUGCCACAUUCAAACUUUGUAGAUUGCUGAAAUCUGAGAAGGAAAGCACAAAGAUAAGAUCUUGGAGGGAACCAGUUCCCCAUGCACGUUUAUAAGUAGCUCGUUUUGUAACAAGAACGCCAAAGGAA